AACGAACGCUGGCGGCAGGCCUAACACAUGCAAGUCGAGCGCACCCUUCGUGGUGAGCGGCGGACGGGUGAGUAACGCGUGGGAACGUUCCCUUCUCUGCGGAAUAGCCUCGGGAAACUGAGAGUAAUACCGCAUACGCCCUUUGGGGGAAAGAUUUAUCGGAGAAGGAUCGGCCCGCGUUGGAUUAGGUAGUUGGUGGUGUAAUGGCCCACCAAGCCGACGAUCCAUAGCUGGGUUGAGAGGAUGAUCCGCCACACUGGGACUGAGGCCCGGCCCAGAAUCCUACGGGAGGGCGGCAGGGGGGAUCCUAGCAAAUGGGGGGCACCCCGAACUAGCCCUGGCGGGGGAGUGAUGAAGGCCUUAGGGUUGUAAAGCUCUUUCAGCUGGGAAGAUAAUGACGGUACCAGCAGAAGAAGCCCCGGCUAACUCCGUG
Molecule: ribosomal RNA, 433 nt
Filed under: uncultured bacterium
Lineage: Bacteria
Description: partial 16S ribosomal RNA
Rfam family: Bacterial small subunit ribosomal RNA
Source: RNAcentral